RNAcentral lists this ribosomal RNA (450 nucleotides) under uncultured bacterium. Its description in RNAcentral is "SSU rRNA". It matches the Rfam family "Bacterial small subunit ribosomal RNA", at positions 26 to 518 of the family's 1533-position model. The record is from RNAcentral.
AGAGCGAACGCUGGCGGCAGGCUUAACACAUGCAAGUCGAGCGGGCGUAGCAAUACGUCAGCGGCAGACGGGUGAGUAACGCGUGGGAACGUACCUUUUGGUUCGGAACAACCCAGGGAAACUUGGGCUAAAUACCGGAUAAGCCCUUACGGGGAAAGAUUUAUCGCUGAAGGAUCGGCCCGCGUCUGAUUAGCUAGUUGGUGGGGUAACGGCUCACCAAGGCGACGAUCAGUAGCUGGUCUGAGAGGAUGAUCAGCCUCACUGGGACUGAGACACGGCCCAGACUCCUACGGGAGGCAGCAGUGGGGAAUAUUGGACAAUGGGCGCAAGCCUGAUCCAGCCAUGCCGCGUGGGUGAUGAAGGCCCUAGGGUUGUAAAGCCCUUUCGGCGGGGAAGAUAAUGACGGUACCCGCAGAAGAAGCCCCGGCUAACUUCGCGACCAGCAGCCGC